Molecule: long non-coding RNA, 3603 nt
Filed under: Populus trichocarpa (black cottonwood)
Lineage: Eukaryota; Viridiplantae; Streptophyta; Magnoliopsida; Malpighiales; Salicaceae
Description: long non-coding RNA (PTRI_LNC004128)
Source: RNAcentral
UUCCUCCCCCAUUUUCCAUAUACCACAACCUAGCUAACCUUCUUCGUCUCCAAGACCACCACCACCACCACCAUCCAUUUUGCCAGCCAGCUAGCUCUUUGCAGAUACCGGAUAUUGUUGCCUAAUUAAGAUCCCAGUAUUCCUCAGGUUUCUCUUUCAAAUGGGUUCUCAAAGAAAAACCCAAUGCUUAACAAUGAUAAUCUUUGUUGCCAUUGUUUUUGGACCAUGCUCUCACCAAAUAUUGGCAGCUAGGCCACUAGAAGGAGAGCAAUGGUUAAAGCAAAAUCUUGGGAAUAUUCAAUCUCUUCAAAGGGCUCCGGUUCCACCAUCUCGUGGAUCUUCAUGCACUCAUACUCCUGGCCUUGGUAGUGGCCAUUGCCCCUUGGGUGAAAUGAAUUUUGCUGGCCAUAUUGUUGCUCAUGCACCACCUGCUUUUCCUGAUGCCAUCGUAAACUUUUCUACAGCUUCAGUCACUAAUAAUGAGACCCAAAAACAAGAUUCAAGCUCAUGAAUAUCUUAGGGAGUUAAAUUAUACGAGUAGGGUUUCUCGAUGAAGGUGAGGAUAGUUGAAAUAAAAGAAGGAUGGGGAUGGUGCUAAACUUUAAUUUCAUACUUCAUUUUUUUUUCUUGUUUUGGUGCAACCACUGGAAAAAAUAAGAGUGGUUGUGAAACAAAUGAUAUAGUUUAUUUUUAUUCAAUUUAUUUUAAUGAAUCAACUUGAUUUAAUUUUUUCAGUUAAUUUUAUGUUUUCUUGUUUGUAAUUCUUUAGAUAUUCGUGUGUGUGUAUUCUCGUGUGUGUGUAUUCUUUUAAUCUUAAACAUGGUUAUAAAACCUUUAGAGCUUAUUUUAGGGCUGAACAAGUCUGAGUUAAAGAAAAAAUUAAUUUGGGCUAACUCCAUGUAAAUUUAAUUCUAUCUUGGCCAAAAAUUUAUUGAUUUUUUUAAAAUAAAAAUUAUCAAAAUAACAUUAUUUGAUAUUUUAAAAAAAUGAAAUUAACCUUGAUUAACUUUCCCCAACUCAAAUGUAUCCAAAAAUGAGUUCAAUAAUUUUUAUUAUUGAAUGUUAAUAUAUAUAUAUAUAUAUAUACACACACACACUAGUUACGUCAAGAUAUCUCAAAUUCAUUCUUAACUUCGAGUCAAAGCCUUUAAGUCUUUGACCAUGCAAAACUAUGUCCAAGCUUAAUUUUUUUUUUUUUUUAGUUUUCUGUUCUUUUCUUUUUUAUAAUAUUGAUUGCCAAAUUAACACACGAAUUACACGUAAUCUAUGAGUUCUUGUACGUGGUCAAAUAUUUGACUUGGUUUAUUCUCACUCAAUUUGUUUUUUAGGUAGAAUAGGGAAAUGGUUUGCCAUUGAUUUUUUUUAUAAAAUCAAUGUUUGACAUUAUUUAUAUAAUAUUAUCUUUGAAACUUUUAUAUUUAAAUAAUUUAUUCUUAAAUAAGCCUUAAAUAUUAUAAUUUCAUACUUUCCAUCAUUUUUAUCUUCAGAUUCAUCAUCUUUUUACAACCAACCUCUAAAAUUUUAUUUCUUGUACAACUUAUUAAGAGACUUAUUUUGAAAACAUUCAUGAUUUUCAAGUUAAAAAAUAAUAUAAAUUAUAUAUUUAAAUGUUAUUGAGUUUUUUAAUAUAGUUUCAGAAAUUUGUUGAUAAAGUGCUUAUAAAUUAAAAACUUAUCAUCAUAUUUUAUUUGAUAAAAAUUAAAUAUAAAGUAAUAAUAAACCCGAGCAAAUUUCAUUUAAAAAAAUAUAUUAAAAAAUAAUAUAAAUUUUAUUGCAUGUUUAUUAUUAAAAAAUAAUAAACAAGGAUUAAGAUAGUUUUUUUACUCUAAGCAUGAUAAUUCAUUUCCAAUGUCUCAGCUUAUUGUCAACUUUAAAAAUACUUUGAUCGUUUGAGGUUUUUCUUGAACCUCGUCAACACUCCAAACAAAAUCAAUAUAAUACAAAACAAGAAUCCAAAAUACUGUUCUCUCUAUAAGAUAAAUCAAAUUGGAGGAGUCUUGCAAGCUCAAAGAAGCUUGCAUCAAUCCAGGCUUGAUUAGGUAGGAGUCAGAUAACACGACAAUCAAACUUUGAACAAAGUUUUCUGUUGAUUCUUCAUUUGAAAUUUUUGGUCCAGGAAAUUGAAUAAAUCAAUUCUAGAAAUAGAUUGGCCCAUACUGACGAUACGAGCCCAACGAUAUAUUUUUGUACGUGACGAGAUCACGAGACUGCAGUAAGCAUUAAAAUGAAUUAAAUGGUGGGCUCAUCUCCGACGUGUAUCUGGACAGCCCAUAAAUGUUGGGUUGUUUGGUCGGAGGAUUAUGUGAUAAUGAUUAUGAUAUUAAUAUAAAAAGAUGAUGAUAAUAAUAAAAAUAAUGAUAAUAAUAAACUGAUAUUUAUUGUGUAUUUAUGAUGGUUGAACAAUAAUAGUAAAAUACUAAAAUGAUAGUGGUAGUUCAACAUGGUAGCUAUUAGCAAUGAUAACUAUAUAAUUAUUAAAUUUAGUCCAAUAAAUUGACUUGCAAAUUAAAUUUUCAAGUUUUAUUAAAAUAAAAAUUAAUAAAAUAAAAUUCAGGUAACCCGUUCAAACCUAUAUUUUUACACGUAAUAAAUUAAGUGCACCAUCCAAACAUGAGUUAGACCCAAAACAGCAGUAGACCACCCAAAAUGUUUCGAAAACCUAGCCCAAAAAAUAGCAGGCUCCCUUAGUGGGUUGAGACAAAGAAUUUUGCCUCCCACCAUCACAUCAAGGAAUGGGAGGACUCCUUCAACUUUGAUUAAAAUUUCAUGUAUAAAAGUAUGUUCGUUUGCUUUUCAAGGUCUUGUGUCUAUAAUUUAGACUCUCUCCGUUCAAACUUCAAACCGCGGCCACAAGUCAACACAUGACAUCUUCCUACACACCAAAAUCAAGAAACCAUGACUUAAAACGUAUUUCAUGUGUGUCCUUGCAUGUAUAAGUAUAGAUCCCAUCUUCCAUAUACCACAACCUAGCUAACCUUCUUCGUCUCCAAGACCACCACUACCACCAUCCAUUUUGCUAGCUCUUUGCAGAUACCAGAUAUUGUUGUCUACUUAAGAUCCCCAGUAUUCCUCAGGUUUAUCUUUCAAAUGGGUUCUCAAAGAAAAAACCGAUGCUUAACGAUGAUAAUCUUUGUUGCCAUUGUUUUUGGACCAUGCUCUCACCAAAUAUUGGCAGCUAGGCCAAUAGAGGGAGAGCAAUGGUUAAAGCAAAAUCUUGGGAAUAUUCAAUCUCUUCAAAGGGCUCCGGUUCCACCAUCUCGUGGAUCUUCAUGCACUCAUACUCCUGGCCGUGGUAGUGGCCAUUGCCCCUUGGGUGAAAUGAAUUUUGCUGGCCAUAUUGUUGCUCAUGCACCACCUGCUUUUCCUGAUGCCAUCGUAAAGUUUGCUGCGGCUUCAGUCACUAAUAAUGAGACCCAAAAACAAGAUUCAAGCUCAUGAAUGUCUUAGGGAGUUAAAUUAUACGAGUAGGGUUUCUCGAGGAAGGUGAGGAUAGUUGAAACAAAAGAAGGAUGGAGACGGUACUAAACUUUAAUUUCAUACUUGAUUUUUUUUUUUUUACUUGUUUCGGUGAAACCACUGGAAAAAAUAAGUGGUUGUGAAACA